UUUCCGUAGGUGAACCUGCGGAAGGAUCAUUAGAAAGUACCGGCCCCCCCGGGGGCCUUACCUUCAAACCACUGUGAAACCACCCGUUGCUUCGCGGCAGGGCGCCCCCCGGGGCGCCUCCGUCAGUCCGCAGAAGCCCAACACAAAAACCACUUUGUAACAGUCUGUCUGAACAACAUGAAUUAAAAUUCGUUAAAACUUUCAACAACGGAUCUCUUGGUUCUCGCAUCGAUGAAGAACGCAGC
Molecule: unclassified non-coding RNA, 245 nt
Filed under: uncultured fungus
Lineage: Eukaryota; Fungi
Description: sequence contains ITS1, 5.8S rRNA gene
Rfam family: 5.8S ribosomal RNA (bases 197-245)
Source: RNAcentral